RNAcentral lists this ribosomal RNA (39 nucleotides) under Fuscoporia gilva. RNAcentral describes it as "partial 18S ribosomal RNA". Lineage: Eukaryota; Fungi; Basidiomycota; Agaricomycetes; Hymenochaetales; Hymenochaetaceae. RNAcentral also lists the same sequence under 4 other names. The record is from RNAcentral.
GGAAGUAAAAGUCGUAACAAGGUUUCCGUAGGUGAACCU